GGGGUCGUCAGCUAGUCUGGUCUAGGCUGGCAGGCUCCAGACCUGCUCACGGGCGUUCAAAUCGCCCCGACCCCA
This is a transfer RNA of 75 nucleotides. It matches the Rfam family "tRNA". From Rfam's summary of the family: Transfer RNA (tRNA) molecules are approximately 80 nucleotides in length.